RNAcentral lists this ribosomal RNA (229 nucleotides) under uncultured bacterium. Its description in RNAcentral is "partial 16S ribosomal RNA". It matches the Rfam family "Bacterial small subunit ribosomal RNA", at positions 568 to 796 of the family's 1533-position model. The record is from RNAcentral.
UGCGUAGGCGGUUAGAUAAGUCAGAGGUGAAAGCCCGCAGCUCAACUGUGGAAUUGCCUUUGAUACUGUUUGACUUGAAUCAGGUUGAGGUUGGCGGAAUGUGACAUGUAGCGGUGAAAUGCAUAGAUAUGUCAUAGAACACCAAUUGCGAAGGCAGCUAACUAGACCUGUAUUGACGCUGAGGCACGAAAGCGUGGGGAGCGAACAGGAUUAGAUACCCUGGUAGUCC